Molecule: non-coding RNA, 1439 nt
Organism: Taeniopygia guttata (zebra finch)
Lineage: Eukaryota; Metazoa; Chordata; Aves; Passeriformes; Estrildidae
Source: RefSeq, a predicted model, not a curated record
CUUUGACAGCGAGGGUGGUAAUUCCUGGAGAAGAUGAACCCCUCAUACCGACAGAGCAGAGACAAGGGAUCCUGAGAACUGGAUAAUCCAUAGACAUGGAUUUUGGGCAAUGAAAAUGCUGAAGGAUGUGAUUAUGUUGGACCAGGAGAAGACAAGUUUAAAUUCAGUGUUAUAUCUGAAGUAACUGCUGUUUAUGCACUUAACCUUGUGACAGAGUAAAAACAGUGCCAGGAGCAUAUUGUGGAGAUGUUGUUACGUGAAAAAGUGUUUAUUCCCCUUUAAAAAUUUAUGAACUUGCAAAGAAGCCAUGCAAGGAUGAUGUGGCUGUUCCUCUGUCCUGAGUGUGAGUGUCAGCAGUUAGCAGCCAAAACAUAUGUGUCCCUUGUUCCCUUUGCUGGGACAGCAGGUAUUUCUGAAUCUAGGAACCUGGUCCUGAAAAUUGCUGACUAAAUUCUAACUAGUGUUUACUGGAAUCCACUGGAGGGGUGAUCCCUGAGACCACUUUUACCUGGUCUCUGGGAACUGUAGCCUGUUGGAGGCCCCAGUCCUGGAGGCUUCAGAACUCUUUCAACUCUUGGUAACUUUGGCAUUAAGGGUCACUCAGUACCUCCUAGGAGGAGGCCCUGACUGCUUUCAACUUUUAAAAUCAAUGGUUUUGAUCUUGACAAUCUGGCCUGGAAGAUUUUAAUUUUACUGGUUUUAGCUUGAACUUGAAACUGACUUAAAUGGCGUUUGUGCCCUCAGUACUGGAUAUUACUGUGUUAGAACCUUCCCUUUGCCGGUCUUGCAGAUGCAAGUCAGUCCUUUUUCUUUAGGCAACUGUAUGUAAUGGACUGAGAUCAGGGAUUAAUUUGGCCAGGGAUAAUUGAAAUGAUAAGUAAAAUAAACCAAAACAAAACAUAAAGCAAAACUUUGAGUUUGGAAUAGCUUCUGAGAUUCUGAAAGUAACUGAAGUAAUCCAGAAGAAAAUAUGCCAUGAAAUCUGUUUUCCAUUAUUGCAUGAGAUGGUAUGACUUAAAAUUUGAUCAAAUCUAUUUUUUUCAUGAUGAAGUUAAUGCCACUUAAAGUGAUGUAGAGAUCUGGGGUCUUUUUCCAUGUAGAAUUACAAAUUAUUGUAGACUUGACAUUCUCAUUUGUUUCUUUAUUGAUGAUUCACUGUCAUGAUCUCACAGCAAGUAAAAAUAAUUUCUGAUUGAUUUCCAGCUGCCAGUAGAAUUUUUGAAAGAUGUUGUAGUAAAAGCUCAUUGAUGUGUUUGUACCUACUAGCCUUCUGAUCCAGACCCAGUCUCUUGUAUAUAAUCAAAGUGCAAUGGGGGAGACUUGAUGUCCUGUCUUGCAUUCUAUUUAAGAAAAAGUGCAGUCAUUUAUGUGAAGUCCUGUGCUCAUAUUUAUCUGUGGGUUUUGUGAGAUCCCCCAAUAAAGUCAAGAUUGAGGGACAA